RNAcentral lists this ribosomal RNA (1003 nucleotides) under mollusc metagenome. RNAcentral's name for it is "bacterial LSU rRNA". It matches the Rfam family "Bacterial large subunit ribosomal RNA", at positions 1928 to 2925 of the family's 2925-position model. The record is from RNAcentral.
CGGCGGCCGUAACUAUAACGGUCCUAAGGUAGCGAAAUUCCUUGUCGGGUAAGUUCCGACCUGCACGAAUGGCGUAAUGAUGGCCACACUGUCUCCACCAGAGACUCAGUGAAAUUGAAAUUGCGGUUAAGAUGCCGUAUACCCGCGGCUAGACGGAAAGACCCCGUGCACCUUUACUACAGCUUCACACUGGACUUUGAAUCUAUCUGUGUAGGAUAGGUGGGAGGCUUUGAAACCGAGACGCUAGUUUCGGUGGAGCCAACCUUGAAAUACCACCCUGGUAUAUUUGGAGUUCUAACCUAGAUCCGUUAUCCGGAUCAGGGACAGUGUGUGGUGGGUAGUUUGACUGGGGCGGUCUCCUCCCAAAGAGUAACGGAGGAGCACGAAGGUACCCUCAGCGCGGUCGGAAAUCGCGCAAUGAGUGCAAAGGCAUAAGGGUGCUUGACUGCGAGAUAGACACAUCGAGCAGGUACGAAAGUAGGUCUUAGUGAUCCGGUGGCUCUGUAUGGAAGGGCCAUCGCUCAACGGAUAAAAGGUACGCCGGGGAUAACAGGCUGAUACCGCCCAAGAGUUCAUAUCGACGGCGGUGUUUGGCACCUCGAUGUCGGCUCAUCACAUCCUGGGGCUGAAGUCGGUCCCAAGGGUAUGGCUGUUCGCCAUUUAAAGUGGUACGCGAGCUGGGUUUAGAACGUCGUGAGACAGUUCGGUCCCUAUCUGCCGUGGGCGUUUGAGAUUUGAGGAAAGCUGCUUCUAGUACGAGAGGACCGAAGUGGACGAACCUCUGGUGUUCCGGUUGUCACGCCAGUGGCAUUGCCGGGUAGCUACGUUCGGACAGGAUAACCGCUGAAAGCAUCUAAGCGGGAAGCCCCUUCCAAGAUUAGAUCUCACCGACUCUUUUAGAGUCCUGAAGGGCCGUUGAAGACUACAACGUUGAUAGGCUGGGUGUAGAAGUACAGUAAUGUAUGAAGCUAACCAGUACUAAUUGCCCGUGAGGCUUGACCAU